GACGAACGCUGGCGGCGUGCUUAACACAUGCAAGUCGAACGCUGAAGCUCAGCUUUUGUUGGGUGGAUGAGUGGCGAACGGGUGAGUAACACGUGAGUAACCUGCCCCCUUCUUUGGGAUAACGCCCGGAAACGGGUGCUAAUACUGGAUAUUCACUGGUCUUCGCAUGGGGGUUGGUGGAAAGGGUUUUUCUGGUGGGGGAUGGGCUCGCGGCCUAUCAGCUUGUUGGUGGGGUGAUGGCCUACCAAGGCUUUGACGGGUAGCCGGCCUGAGAGGGUGACCGGUCACAUUGGGACUGAGAUACGGCCCAGACUCCUACGGGAGGCGGCAGUGGGGAAUAUUGCACAAUGGGCGAAAGCCUGAUGCAGCGACGCCGCGUGAGGGAUGGAGGCCUUCGGGUUGUGAACCUCUUUCGCUCAUGGUCAAGCCGCAACAAUGGUUGUGGUGAGGGUAGUGGGUAAAGAAGCGCCGGCUAACUACGUG
RNAcentral lists this ribosomal RNA (483 nucleotides) under uncultured bacterium. Its description in RNAcentral is "partial 16S ribosomal RNA". It matches the Rfam family "Bacterial small subunit ribosomal RNA", at positions 28 to 507 of the family's 1533-position model. The record is from RNAcentral.